GAUGAACGCUGGCGGUAUGCUUAACACAUGCCAGUCGAACGGACUCUUCGGAGUUAGUGGCGGACGGGUGAGUAACGCGUGAGAAUCUGGCUUUGGGUUCGGGACAACCACUGGAAACGGUGGCUAAUACCGGAUGUGCCGAGAGGUAAAAGAGAAAUUGCCUGAAGAUGAGCUCGCGUCUGAUUAGCUAGUUGGUGAGGUAAAGGCUCACCAAGGCAGCGAUCAGUAGCUGGUCUGAGAGGAUGACCAGCCACACUGGGACUGAGACACGGCCCAGACGCCUACGGGAGGCAGCAGUGGGGAAUUUUCCGCAAUGGGCGAAAGACUGACGGAGCAAUACCGCGUGAGGGAAGAAGGCUCUUGGGUUGUAAACCUCUUUUCUUAGGGAAGAACAAAAUGACGGUACCUAAGGAAUCAGCAUCGGCUAACUCCGUG
RNAcentral lists this ribosomal RNA (435 nucleotides) under uncultured bacterium. RNAcentral's name for it is "partial 16S ribosomal RNA". It matches the Rfam family "Bacterial small subunit ribosomal RNA", at positions 28 to 507 of the family's 1533-position model. The record is from RNAcentral.